GGGAGCGUUCAGCAGCUCGGUGUCCCACAGCGUUCACAAACGUGUCCUUAAACCAGAAGGGAGCCACAAUGCCCAGCUGGGCUUCGUUCAGGCCAAUGACGUAUUUGGGGUUCUCCACCAUGAUUCUGUAGUCACACGACAAGGCAAUGAGACAUCCUCCAGCUGGGCUGGAUCCAUUGAUUGCAGCGACCGUCACCAGGUUGGAGCCGUACAGCCGGAUCCACAUCUCCUGCACAGCCCUCCAGAACUCAGCGUAGUGCUCCGUGCUCUUCCCACACAUCUCUGUGAUGUCCAGGCCGGAUGAGAAGACUCUGGGGAUGGCCGAGGUGAUGAUCAGGCCUCGGCAGGCCCGGUCGUUCUCCAGCUUCUCCAGGCUUAUGCAGAACUCAGUGAGGAAGUCCAGGCUGAGACUGUUGACCGGAGGGCUCUUGAACUUCAUCGUGGCUACGCCUGAGCUCGUGUCCAGCUCCACCAGGAUCUUGUUGUUGCUGAAGGCACGGCGCUGGGCGGGCAGGAGGCCGGGGGGCUGCCGGGCAGCUUGGGGCCAUACCUGUGGGCUGCUGCGUGGGAACAGCACACCUGACCGAGCCAUCCGACGGGCAAAAGUCCCUGCUGCUGCCGCUACCGCCGCCAUGUUCUCCAGGACGGUCAAGCGGACGCGGAUCGGCCCCAAACGUCCCAACUCCGCUCCGCCCCCGC
RNAcentral lists this long non-coding RNA (699 nucleotides) under Gallus gallus (chicken). Lineage: Eukaryota; Metazoa; Chordata; Aves; Galliformes; Phasianidae. The record is from RNAcentral.